This 315-nucleotide ribosomal RNA is filed under the name Staphylococcus aureus. RNAcentral describes it as "partial 23S ribosomal RNA". It matches the Rfam family "Bacterial large subunit ribosomal RNA", at positions 2608 to 2925 of the family's 2925-position model. The record is from RNAcentral. RNAcentral also lists the same sequence under 1 other name. Lineage: Bacteria; Bacillati; Bacillota; Bacilli; Caryophanales; Staphylococcaceae.
GGUUCAGAACGUCGUGAGACAGUUCGGUCCCUAUCCGUCGUGGGCGUAGGAAAUUUGAGAGGAGCUGUCCUUAGUACGAGAGGACCGGGAUGGACAUACCUCUGGUGUACCAGUUGUCGUGCCAACGGCAUAGCUGGGUAGCUAUGUGUGGACGGGAUAAGUGCUGAAAGCAUCUAAGCAUGAAGCCCCCCUCAAGAUGAGAUUUCCCAACUUCGGUUAUAAGAUCCCUCAAAGAUGAUGAGGUUAAUAGGUUCGAGGUGGAAGCAUGGUGACAUGUGGAGCUGACGAAUACUAAUCGAUCGAAGACUUAAUCAA